GAUCAUGGCUCAGGACGAACGCUGGCGGCGCGCCUAACACAUGCAAGUCGAACGGAGUCAAGAGGAGCUUGCUUUUCUUGACUUAGUGGCGAACGGGUGAGUAACGCGUGAGUAACCUGCCCUGGAGUGGGGGACAACAGUUGGAAACGACUGCUAAUACCGCAUAAGCCCACGGCCCGGGCAUCGGGCUGCGGGAAAAGGAUUUGUUUGUCUUCAGGAUGGACUCGCGUCCAACUUAAGCUAGUUUGGUUGG
RNAcentral lists this ribosomal RNA (253 nucleotides) under uncultured bacterium. RNAcentral describes it as "partial 16S ribosomal RNA". It matches the Rfam family "Bacterial small subunit ribosomal RNA", at positions 15 to 257 of the family's 1533-position model. The record is from RNAcentral.